GGGAUAACACUUGAAAACAGGUGCUAAUACCGCAUAACCAUAGUUACCGCAUGGUAACUAUGUAAAAGGUGGCUAUGCUACCGCUUUUGGAUGGGCCCGCGGCGCAUUAGCUAGUUGGUGGGGUAAAGGCUUACCAAGGCAAUGAUGCGUAGCCGAACUGAGAGGUUGAUCGGCCACAUUGGGACUGAGACACGGCCCAAACUCCUACGGGAGGCAGCAGUAGGGAAUCUUCCACAAUGGGCGAAAGCCUGAUGGAGCAGCGCCGCGUGGGUGAAGAAGGUCUUCGGAUCGUAAAACCCUGUUGUUAGAGAAGAAAGUGCGUGAGAGUAACUGUUCACGUUUCGACGGUAUCUAACCAGAAAGCCACGGCUAACUACGUGCCAGCAGCCGCGGUAAUACGUAGGUGGCAAGCGUUAUCCGGAUUCAUUGGGCGUAAAGGGAACGCAGGCGGUCUUUUAAGUCUGAUGUGAAAGCCUUCGGCUUAACCGGAGUAGUGCAUUGGAAACUGGGAGACUUGAGUGCAGAAGAGGAGAGUGGAACUCCAUGUGUAGCGGUGAAAUGCGUAGAUAUAUGGAAGAACACCAGUGGCGAAAGCGGCUCUCUGGUCUGUAACUGACGCUGAGGUUCGAAAGCGUGGGUAGCAAACAGGAUUAGAUACCCUGGUAGUCCACGCCGUAAAC
Molecule: ribosomal RNA, 680 nt
Filed under: uncultured bacterium
Lineage: Bacteria
Description: bacterial SSU rRNA
Rfam family: Bacterial small subunit ribosomal RNA
Source: RNAcentral